AAUAGAUACCCGAGGUAGUCCACGACCGUAAACGAUGAGUACUAGAUGUUAGUAGGGGAACCUAUUAGUAUCGAAGCUAACGCGAUAAGUACUCCGCCUGGGAAGUACGGCCGCAAGGUUGAAACUCAAAUGAAUUGACGGGGGCCCGCACAAGCGGUGGAGCAUGUGGUUUAAUUCGAUGCAACGCGAAGAACCUUACCUACUCUUGACAUCCUGCGAAUCCCGAUGAGAGUUGGGAGUGCCGAAAGGAGCGCAGAGACAGGUGCUGCAUGGCUGUCGUCAGCUCGUGUUGUGAGAUGUUGGGUUAAGUCCCGUAACGAGCGCAACCCUUGCCCUUAGUUGCCAGCAAGUCAUGUUGGGGACUCUAAGGGGACUGCCGGUGAUGAACCGGAGGAAGGCGGGGACGACGUCAAGUCAUCAUGGCCUUUAUGAGUAGGGCUACACACGUGCUACAAUGGGGCGUACAGAGGGUAGCCAACCCGCGAGGGGGAGCCAAUCUCAGAAAGCGUCUCGUAGUCCGGA
Molecule: ribosomal RNA, 522 nt
Filed under: uncultured bacterium
Lineage: Bacteria
Description: bacterial SSU rRNA
Rfam family: Bacterial small subunit ribosomal RNA
Source: RNAcentral